RNAcentral lists this ribosomal RNA (585 nucleotides) under uncultured bacterium. Its description in RNAcentral is "bacterial SSU rRNA". It matches the Rfam family "Bacterial small subunit ribosomal RNA", at positions 338 to 916 of the family's 1533-position model. The record is from RNAcentral.
CCUACGGGAGGCAGCAGUGGGGAAUUUUGGACAAUGGACGCAAGUCUGAUCCAGCCAUGCCGCGUGCGGGAAGAAGGCCUUCGGGUUGUAAACCGCUUUUGUCAGGGAAGAAAAGGCUCUUUCUAAUAAAGAGGGCUCAUGACGGUACCUGAAGAAUAAGCACCGGCUAACUACGUGCCAGCAGCCGCGGUAAUACGUAGGGUGCAAGCGUUAAUCGGAAUUACUGGGCGUAAAGCGUGCGCAGGCGGUUGUGCAAGACAGGUGUGAAAUCCCCGGGCUUAACCUGGGAACUGCACUUGUGACUGCACGGCUAGAGUACGGUAGAGGGGGAUGGAAUUCCACGUGUAGCAGUGAAAUGCGUAGAUAUGUGGAGGAACACCGAUGGCGAAGGCAAUCCCCUGGACCUGUACUGACGCUCAUGCACGAAAGCGUGGGGAGCAAACAGGAUUAGAUACCCUGGUAGUCCACGCCCUAAACGAUGUCAACUGGUUGUUGGGAGGGUUUCUUCUCAGUAACGUAGCUAACGCGUGAAGUUGACCGCCUGGGGAGUACGGCCGCAAGGUUGAAACUUAAAGGAAUUGACGG